RNAcentral lists this unclassified non-coding RNA (218 nucleotides) under Hevea brasiliensis (rubber tree). Lineage: Eukaryota; Viridiplantae; Streptophyta; Magnoliopsida; Malpighiales; Euphorbiaceae. The record is from RNAcentral.
UUUAUGGAGAAUAUUGGUCCAUUUAUUACCUCCUCCCUUAUUAAGCUGCUUUUGUUUUUUAUCACCUCUAACUUUUUUAUUCCCCAAAAUUUUACUAGUGGAAAAAUCAUGAUCAGCACAACCCCCUUUCUAGGAAAAAGUAAACUUUCCAAUGCUUCCCACAGAGUGACAAGAUAGCCAGGAGUAAAUGAUAGCAUAUUAAGAACAGGCAACGGGCC